UGCUCCGUAGUGUAAUGGCAGCAUGGCUGACUUUGACUCAGCGGGUUCAGGUUCGAGUCCUGGCGGAGCAGCAA
RNAcentral lists this transfer RNA (74 nucleotides) under Spirochaetota bacterium. RNAcentral's name for it is "Spirochaetes bacterium tRNA-Gln". It matches the Rfam family "tRNA". From Rfam's summary of the family: Transfer RNA (tRNA) molecules are approximately 80 nucleotides in length. The record is from RNAcentral. Lineage: Bacteria; Pseudomonadati; Spirochaetota.